UCCCGAAUAAUCGUAAACAAAUUUAGGCCCAAUCCUAAAUCCCCGGUAUGAUAAUAAAACUUAUGUAUAGUAUUUAUUGUUAAUAUGAUAUCGUUCAAAUAAUGCAUGAAAUAUUUGGCACUGGACUUAUGACUCUUGUUUGUAUGUCUUCACUUUAGUAGUGAUGCUGGAAAUCUAAAAUUUAUUAAAAUACCUGAUAACCAGUUUAUGAUUUGAAUAUCUUUUAAAAUAUCAGAACUGUUGAAAAAAAGGAAGUCAAUUCUUUUAAAAUCCUACCGUGCAGUAUUCGCGGAUUACAGCUGAUUUCCUAAUGCUUGCAAAGUAAAACUUUGUUUGGCUUGCUUGCUUUGUUUGUGUAAUUGUUAAUACAAGCUUUGUAAAUAAGAUUGACAUCUUUAAACAAUAUAUAUAGGCAUAGUUUAACCUGAAUAUAUUAUAUUUGAAUUUAAUUUGGUGUUAUCCUAUGGUAAACGCUUAAUUCAACUGAACUAGAAUUGUUUGUACAUGUUUGUGCGCUCUAAACGAGCAUAAUACUUGCAACUGGACUAUAAGCAAUUUCAGUCAAAAGUCGAUUUAUAUGUUACAGAUUAAAUUUGCAAUAACAACCGGCAUUGAACCAACUAAUACUAAUAAAUGACCACUUCAUCAACUGUGUCCCCCAUUAUAGAAUUGCCGUAAACGUUAUUGAUUUUAUUCAUGUAUUAGCGCUAAAAGACUUGAGACGUUCUGGCGUUAAAUAGUGGACAC
RNAcentral lists this long non-coding RNA (747 nucleotides) under Mytilus galloprovincialis (Mediterranean mussel). The record is from RNAcentral. Lineage: Eukaryota; Metazoa; Mollusca; Bivalvia; Mytilida; Mytilidae.